This 581-nucleotide ribosomal RNA is filed under the name Salmonella enterica subsp. enterica. RNAcentral's name for it is "partial 23S ribosomal RNA". It matches the Rfam family "Bacterial large subunit ribosomal RNA", at positions 647 to 1219 of the family's 2925-position model. The record is from RNAcentral. Lineage: Bacteria; Pseudomonadati; Pseudomonadota; Gammaproteobacteria; Enterobacterales; Enterobacteriaceae.
UAACCGAAUAGGGGAGCCGUAGGGAAACCGAGUCUUAACCGGGCGUUAAGUUGCAGGGUAUAGACCCGAAACCCGGUGAUCUAGCCAUGGGCAGGUUGAAGGUUGGGUAACACUAACUGGAGGACCGAACCGACUAAUGUUGAAAAAUUAGCGGAUGACCUGUGGCUGGGGGUGAAAGGCCAAUCAAACCGGGAGAUAGCUGGUUCUCCCCGAAAGCUAUUUAGGUAGCGCCUCGUGAAUUCAUCUCCGGGGGUAGAGCACUGUUUCGGCUAGGGGGCCAUCCCGGCUUACCAACCCGAUGCAAACUGCGAAUACCGGAGAAUGUUAUCACGGGAGACACACGGCGGGUGCUAACGUCCGUCGUGAAGAGGGAAACAACCCAGACCGCCAGCUAAGGUCCCAAAGUCAUGGUUAAGUGGGAAACGAUGUGGGAAGGCCCAGACAGCCAGGAUGUUGGCUUAGAAGCAGCCAUCAUUUAAAGAAAGCGUAAUAGCUCACUGGUCGAGUCGGCCUGCGCGGAAGAUGUAACGGGGCUAAACCAUGCACCGAAGCUGCGGCAGCGAACGUAUCACCCAAGACAA